This 270-nucleotide ribosomal RNA is filed under the name uncultured archaeon. RNAcentral describes it as "partial 16S ribosomal RNA". It matches the Rfam family "Archaeal small subunit ribosomal RNA", at positions 477 to 747 of the family's 1478-position model. The record is from RNAcentral.
CUGCAGCUCGAGUGGUGACCGCUAUUAUUGGGCCUAAAACGUUCGUAGCCGGCUGAGUAAAUGCUUGGGUAAAUCGUGCCGCUUAACGGUACGAAUUCCGGGUAGACUGCUUAGCUUGAGACCGGGAGAAGCUAGAGGUACUCCUGGGGUAGGGGUGAAAUCCUGUAAUCCUGGGGGGACCACCAGUGGCGAAGGCGUCUAGCUAGAACGGGUCUGACGGUGAGGGACGAAACCCUGGGGCGCAAACCGGAUUAGAUACCCGAGUAGUCC